AUCCCCGCCGCGACGGGCAGCUCAAAGUCGGCUUAGUUGUGCUCCGCGCCGCCGCCCGCUGCUCCGGCACCAUGUCCCUCUGCAGGGCCGCCUCGCAGGCGCUGGCCUCCCGCCUGAGCAGGGCUCCUGCCGCCGCCGGCCGCCUCAAGCAGCGUGCACCUCCUCGCCAGAUGUCAUCUGGGAGUGUUCCUGGCUCUUCUAGAGACAGCAUGAUGAUCUAUCUCCUUGCUGGUGUUGCUGCUUUUGGUGGUUUAUUUUAUGCCUACAGAGUAGUCAGUUCAUCCCGCAGCAAGUUUGUUGAACAUUCAAGUAUUCUUCGUGAGAGAACCGAGGGGCAGAACAGCAAUCCUUGGUCAAGGAAGGACACAAGGGAAAUCUCUUUCCAAACCUGAGGAAGUUAAAUACAAACAAAGGACAAUCGUUUACCAUUAAGUACAUUGCAGCCUACCUUGGGAUGACUUUGUGCCUUCUAUUGUAAAGCCCCAAUUGUUUUCUGAGGAGGAGAAGACAACUGAAGAAGUUGCUAAAGAGCCCUAAAGUAAGCAGAGUGGACACCUUUGGAAAGUUUAAUGCAAAUAUUUGUGGCAAUCAACCAGCUGAUUCCGGUGUGAAACCUCAUACUCUUCCUUGAAGACAUAAAAGAAACUCUGCAGUUUGUCCCACCCACACAUUGGCCAUUAUGGCCAGUAUUCAGUGCUGCAAGAGAUGAUUUGCAUUGCCUAGAGAAAUGCUUCUGUGACUAACAACUCUGCUGUAGAGAGUAGCUUCCAGUCAAGCCACUCAGCAUGUCCUAAAUACAUGUGCUAAGAGAAGCAGUAGACUUAACUAAACCAUGCCAUAUGAACUCCUUCUAUGUCAUUGUUGUCCUGAUAUGUACAUUGAUUCCUUACUUUUGGUCCAAACUAUUGUGUGUAGUUAUACCUUUGUAACAUUCCAUGCUAAAAUGUAAACAAAAGGUUUUAAAAUCAAGUCAAAAUAUUACAAAACUACAUGUUAGCAUUUUAAAAUUGGAUCACAGGGAAAAUAACAACGUGUUUGCUCCUGAGUUUGGAUUUGUGAUUGUAAGCAUAAGACAUCUGGCUGUGCAUGACCUAAUUUUCCCCCUGCAUAAAUAUUUCAGAUGAUACCACUCCUUGCACAGUAACAUCUAGGAGUAAACAUUUUAAGGCUCCUGCUUCGGGAAGAAAACCUGUUUGCAGGUAGUAGCCAUAGGUACUUUAUAAGUGGUGGCUGGCUCCUGCCUUGGGUGUGCUGGGCUCUGCUCCUCCCAAAUCUCGUUCAGCUUGCUGUGGUCUUUCUGUGUUGCUCUGUCUUGGCAGUGGCAUAUACUGGUAGUGUAACAACACAAAAGUUUGGUAGAAGCUUUCAAACUGGUACAAAUUACAAGCCCUUUAGGCCAUGGCAAAGCCUGUCUCUAACCACUUGCACACAGAGAGCAAAAUCCCUGUGAAGGGCUAUUCAACAGGUGUUCAAAUGGACAGGCAUUCUUAGGGACUAAGAAAGAACCAAACAGCUAAAUGGCCUUGUUUUCUCAGUAUUAGCUUCACAAAAAUUACAUUUAUUAUGAAUAACAGGUUUGAAUGCCACUGUGCUCCCAACCUUCAUGUGCUACAUGCAUGAGCAUGCAUCUGAGACCCCAUUUCAGCCAUCACAGAAUGGCAAUGAUUCUAAACCAGAGCCAAAUAAGGUAUAUUAUGUACUAUUUAUAUAGAAAGUGUGUUGCAUAAGGUGUGUCUGACUCUUUUCUCUUCAAGAAGAAGUUUGGAAAAUGUUGAAAGGGAAACGACAGCAUUAAUGACAUUCCUACCCACAGCACAAAGCAACACAUGCUCCUUCCCCCAUCAUAAAGCAAAUUAUAAUAGUGUUCCAACAAAGAUAUAGCCUGUUGCUCCUGGAUCUACUUAGGAAUAACUGGAAUAAUGCAAAGGCAAAAGCAGGCUCCUGAGCUUCAAGAAGACAAACCACAGCCUUCUGCUUAAAGGAUAAAGCCUCUGUGAUUAAAAGCAGUUUUUGUAGACCAAGCUACUGGAAUAAAAAUCUUAGACUAAUAUUUUGUUGGAUAAGAGUCUAUAUUUAUCUUGUAGAUUAAAAAUGCUGUGAUGGAUGUAUGCACUUAAAUUUUCUAUUUCUUCAUUUUCACAAAUUACUAGUAAAAGAAGCUAUUUUAACUGCAUCUAACAGUAGUUUCUCAAAUGGUAGGCUUUUCUGAAUGGCUCUUUAUCUCUGGAACUGCUCUGGUACAUGGCAAAAUAUGUUAGCCCCCUGGAACAGCUGCCUUAAUGACUGAAUCACAAACUAUGGUUUCCAAAAUGUAGGGUUUUUUCAUCCUUUCACUUUCAAAAAAUUGUGAGAAUCCCAAAACAGCCUGUAGAUGUGCUUUAUGCCAGAGUUCUUCUUUUUUUGCUUUUGUAUUGUUUAGGUUUUCUUAAUUAAAAAAAAAAAAAAAAAAAAAAAAAAAGGCAUGCAGCACAGCACAGUCUGCUUCAGCACUUAAAUAUCUUAGAGUAACAACAGUGAUAUUUUGCAAUUCGCAGAGGUCUGGCCAUUGUUGACUCAGUCUUGUUAGUAUGGAGUCUGAAUACCAUAUAAAUUAAAAUUUUCCUGUCCUUCACUUUCAAAAAGAGAAUUUUUGAGUUGCUACACAAAAGCUGUGAUGAACCAUGGAAAAUGUUGAAAGAUAAUUUUGAGAUGGAUCAUUAAGGAGAGCAAUGCCACAGCAGAGAAUAGACAUAAUGCAAGACUAAAGGAGAUCAGAGGAAAGGUUUGGUCUUGAAAAUACACCUCACAGGCCAGAGCAAAGCUUAAGAUUCCAGAAUUUAUCCAAACUGCACAUUGCUCCUUUGCUGUCAGCAGUUAUCUGUGAAAACAGCUGGCAAGGAUUUUCACCUCCCUCCAGUGCCAUUUAGUCCCUCUAGUUCACCUCUCUGAAGGGUGACAGCCUGUUGCUGCUGGCAGCUGUUCACAAAGCUGAAAAUUCUGCAGAUGAUGAAGUCCAUCUAACAAUUUCAGGUUUACUUUUUUGCCUGUGUUGAUGUAGGUACAGAAUUUCAAUUUUAUUUUCAUUUCCUUCUUCAAAACAUAAGACAAUUGCAACUAAAAAUCAUAAUUCAAACUGCAAGCUGGUACUCAGCACUUGGAAAAUCAGAGUGAAAUACUUCAAUCAAGAUUUCUUAUGUCUGUGCAACAGGCUUUGAUGUUGUGAUACUACUUUUUAAAAUCUGUUUUUCUGGGAAAGAAAAAAACCACAAAAAACUCAAAACAAAGACAAAGAAUUCCAACCCAGAGAAGAAUGUGCCGUGAUUCUUUUACCCACCUGGUGAGCUGUUUCUGUCAAAAAAUUUGAGCCAAUUAGCCACCCCAACUUCUGCUUUACCAGGCAUAUGGGAGAAACACACAGUUCCAGCUGAGUGAUGGAUGAAGAAAUUAGUAGCUAAACUAAGUUACUUGUAAUGCUUGGCAGCGUAUAAGCAAAUAUAUGAUGCAGCUCUACAGUACUUUUGUGGCUGCAAUCACUGAGUGUAGGUGCUGUUUUCUCCCUGUGGGUGGUUAGCAAAGAGUGAGAGGAGAGCUGAGAGGACAGAGGCAUAUAGAGGAUGAGGGGACAAACAAGGACAGAAGGAAUUUUAUGUUAAAGGACAUUGGAGCUCGCUUUGUGUGUUGCCCAUGGGUUGGCACAUUUCAGUGGAGUGCCAUCCCUGCUGUGACACAGAUAAUUCUGUUCUUCAGAAAGGCAUUACUUGGUUGUGUGCUUUUCUUGUCCUGCUCACCUGCUGCAGAAAAUGGAGGCUGUGAAGGCAUCACCAUGGGUAAUUGGAUCCUCCUGCAUUCUGGGUGUUACUCCUUUAUUUGGGAUGUUGCAGGAGAUUUUGCCUCUUCCAGCUUUACUGGAGGGGGAAAAGGACUAAAACUGUAGGUUUCUAUGCUGGAGUUAUUCCUGCUACUUGCUUGAACUACAGGUAAUUAAACAGUUUGUUGAAACAGCAUGGUUUGCUUGUGGUUUACUGAGACAAACCAAUUUAAUUUUUAUUUAUGCCUCAACAUAUGUUAUAUAUCCAUUUUCUGACAUGGGGUUGAUGCUUCAGGUUUUAGCUUUUAUAUUUUUCAGAUUCUGUGCUGCUUUAGUGUGUGGGUGUGGGCUUCAUAUAAUUCUCUCUUCACAGAAUAGGUAGACAAAACAAUUCCUUCUCUAGCUGAGACCAAGGACAGCAGAUCCAGAUCUCAGACCUAAGAGCAUAAAGAAUAUGGAUUGAAAAGAGAAAAACAAGGAGGAUGGAACUUCAUGGUCUGGAGCUGUAACUGGACAAUUAGCUACAAUAUGCUAAUAGACCAGAACUUAUAAAAGUGAGAGACUCCAUGACUGGUCAUCCAUUUUAUGACCAUUUUGGGUUCACCUGGGGUGUAGCCCUGGCUGGGCUCUUAUGCUGCCCAAGGUGUAUCUAUUGAGGCCUUUUAAUAAAUACCUACUUUAU
This 4469-nucleotide long non-coding RNA is filed under the name Taeniopygia guttata (zebra finch). RNAcentral's name for it is "lncRNA (ENSTGUG00000024458.1)". Lineage: Eukaryota; Metazoa; Chordata; Aves; Passeriformes; Estrildidae. The record is from RNAcentral.